UGAGGAAUAUUGGUCAAUGGGCGAGAGCCUGAACCAGCCAAGUAGCGUGCAGGAUGAGGGCCCUAUGGGUUGUAAACUGCUUUUAUGUGGGGAUAAAGUGCGUGACGUGUCAUGCAUUGCAGGUACCACAUGAAUAAGGACCGGCUAAUUCCGUGCCAGCAGCCGCGGUAAUACGGAAGGUCCGGGCGUUAUCCGGAUUUAUUGGGUUUAAAGGGAGCGUAGGCUGUCUAUUAAGCGUGUUGUGAAAUUUACCGGCUCAACCGGUGGCUUGCAGCGCGAACUGGUCGACUUGAGUAUGCAGGAAGUAGGCGGAAUUCAUGGUGUAGCGGUGAAAUGCUUAGAUAUCAUGACGAACUCCGAUUGCGCAGGCAGCUUACUGUAGCAUAACUGACGCUGAUGCUCGAAAGUGCGGGUAUCAAACAGG
RNAcentral lists this ribosomal RNA (424 nucleotides) under Fusobacteriota bacterium. RNAcentral's name for it is "Fusobacteria bacterium partial 16S ribosomal RNA". It matches the Rfam family "Bacterial small subunit ribosomal RNA", at positions 355 to 776 of the family's 1533-position model. Lineage: Bacteria; Fusobacteriati; Fusobacteriota. The record is from RNAcentral.